Molecule: ribosomal RNA, 497 nt
Filed under: uncultured bacterium
Lineage: Bacteria
Description: partial 16S ribosomal RNA
Rfam family: Bacterial small subunit ribosomal RNA
Source: RNAcentral
GAUGAACGCUGGCGGCGUGCCUAAUACAUGCAAGUCGAGCGAACAGACGAGGAGCUUGCUCCUUUGACGUUAGCGGCGGACGGGUGAGUAACACGUAGGUAACCUACCUCUAAGACUGGGAUAACUUCGGGAAACCGGAGCUAAUACCGGAUAAUAUUUCGAACCGCAUGGUUCGAUAGUGAAAGAUGGCUUUGCUAUCACUUAUAGAUGGACCUGCGCCGUAUUAGCUAGUUGGUAAGGUAACGGCUUACCAAGGCAACGAUACGUAGCCGACCUGAGAGGGUGAUCGGCCACACUGGAACUGAGACACGGUCCAGACUCCUACGGGAGGCAGCAGUAGGGAAUCUUCCGCAAUGGGCGAAAGCCUGACGGAGCAACGCCGCGUGGGUGAUGAAGGUCUUCGGAUCGUAAAACUCUGUUAUUAGGGAAGAACAAACGUGUAAGUAACUGUGCACGUCUUGACGGUACCUAAUCAGAAAGCCACGGCUAACUACGUG